Molecule: small RNA, 712 nt
Filed under: Pan troglodytes (chimpanzee)
Lineage: Eukaryota; Metazoa; Chordata; Mammalia; Primates; Hominidae
Description: processed transcript
Source: RNAcentral
GUUCCGAAAACAGAACAGACUUUUGAAGAGCGCCUGAUCCUCAAAGCUUUCUUGCUCAAGUUUGUCAAUGCCUACUCCCCCAUCUUCUAUGUGGCCUUUUUCAAGGGGAGGUUUGUGGGCAGGCCUGGAAGCUACGUCUAUGUAUUCGACGGUUACCGCAUGGAAGAGUGUGCUCCAGGGGGCUGUCUCAUGGAGCUCUGCAUUCAGCUCAGCAUCAUCAUGUUGGGGAAGCAGUUGAUCCAGAACAACAUCUUUGAGAUUGGAGUCCCAUGACACUUGUUCUCUAGGAGCUUACCAUCUUAGAGAGACAUCAUUUGUUAUGGAAAAACAACCAGAGAAUAUACAGAUGGUACCAAAGCCACAUCUGGCCCCUUUGAAACCAUGAGGCCAGCUCCUCCACAACUGCUAUAAAGAAAAGUCUUCAUCCUAAUUAAACAUCUGGGAAAAACACCAGCCUUCCCAGUACAUUGUUAUUUUGCUGUGAGUAGAAUUAUUUACAGCUUGUGGGCAUGGAAUGCCCAUUUUUUCAUCCCUGGUCAUCUGAUCUACAGCUUAGCCCAUUCUCUCUGGACCCAGAAGGCUUUUGUAGAAUACAAGAGAGGCAAGAACUCGGGCAUGUGUUUGGACAACACGUUGGCAUGUCUCCACCCCUCAACUCCAUCCACCCCAUAACAGGUGAAAAUAGCACAUGGCGUAUGCCUUGAAGGCUAAA